ACAACUCCCAGCGGACACGGCGGGAAAGAGUUUUGAUUUGCCUUUUCCCAUUUCUUUCUCGUCUCUUUUGAUUCUUGCCUACCGCUGAAUGUCUCCGCUGACCUGAGCCUAACGGGCAGAAUUGGCUCAUCGGGGAACGUGGAGACACGUCACGCCGGGGAUGCAUAACACCCAAAUUCUUGGCAAGAACCCAGGAAUUGUGGCAGGAAAACUUGGGGAGCUAAAGUUUGCUCAUUUUGAAAACUUCAGCAAUUACAGCAACUUGUCAAUGACCGGCAUGCUUUUUCAGCCUCGCUUUCAGAAAAGAAAAAGUCUAUAACAUCACCAGUCGUGCAUCAGGCUGGUUCAUUUUGCCCAUUAAGCCUGACAGUGAUGAGAAUACAAUGUUAGCAUUCUGAUCACGGAGAGAAAUCUAAAUGUGCCACAGCCUCCAACCUGAAGUAGUGCUUUUAACAAAUGCUUUGUACAUCUCAGUCCAACAUAGUACGUCAAUGGAGAGAAGAGGCUUUCCUUUUUUAAAAAAAUCUUCUCUGUGUUUUUUUUUCCUGUUAGCCACUGAAUAAAGUGCAUGCAGCCAUGAAAUGUGAAAAUAAA
This is a long non-coding RNA of Rhineura floridana, 594 nucleotides long. RefSeq lists it as uncharacterized. The record is from RefSeq and is a predicted model, not a curated record. The transcript has 2 exons. NCBI's taxonomy places the organism in Eukaryota, Metazoa, Chordata, Lepidosauria, Squamata, Rhineuridae.